This 336-nucleotide ribosomal RNA is filed under the name uncultured bacterium. Its description in RNAcentral is "bacterial SSU rRNA". It matches the Rfam family "Bacterial small subunit ribosomal RNA", at positions 30 to 366 of the family's 1533-position model. The record is from RNAcentral.
AUUGAACGCUGGCGGCAGGCCUAACACAUGCAAGUCGAGCGGUAGAGAGGUGCUUGCAUCUCUUGAGAGCGGCGGACGGGUGAGUAAUGCCUAGGAAUCUGCCUAGUGUGGGGGAUAACGUUCGGAAACGGACGCUAAUACCGCAUACGUCCUACGGGAGAAAGCGGGGGAUCUUCGGACCUCGCGCCAUUAGAUGAGCCUAGGUCGGAUUAGCUAGUUGGUGAGGUAAUGGCUCACCAAGGCGACGAUCCGUAACUGGUCUGAGAGGAUGAUCAGUCACACUGGAACCCUGAGACACGGUCCAGACUCCUACGGAGGCAGCAGUGGGGAAGUAUU